GACGAACGCUGGCGGCGUGCCUAAUACAUGCAAGUUGAGCGCUGAAGGUUGGUACUUGUACCAACUGGAUGAGCAGCGAACGGGUGAGUAACGCGUGGGGAAUCUGCCUUUGAGCGGGGGACAACAUUUGGAAACGAAUGCUAAUACCGCAUAAAAACUUUAAACACAAGUUUUAAGUUUGAAAGAUGCAAUUGCAUCACUCAAAGAUGAUCCCGCGUUGUAUUAGCUAGUUGGUGAGGUAAAGGCUCACCAAGGCGAUGAUACAUAGCCGACCUGAGAGGGUGAUCGGCCACAUUGGGACUGAGACACGGCCCAAACUCCUACGGGAGGCAGCAGUAGGGAAUCUUCGGCAAUGGACGCAAGUCUGACCGAGCAACGCCGCGUGAGUGAAGAAGGUUUUCGGAUCGUAAAACUCUGUUGGUAGAGAAGAACGUUGGUGAGAGUGGAAAGCUCAUCAAGUGACGGUAACUACCCAGAAAGGGACGGCUAACUACGUG
This 497-nucleotide ribosomal RNA is filed under the name uncultured bacterium. RNAcentral's name for it is "partial 16S ribosomal RNA". It matches the Rfam family "Bacterial small subunit ribosomal RNA", at positions 28 to 507 of the family's 1533-position model. The record is from RNAcentral.